Molecule: long non-coding RNA, 1222 nt
Filed under: Sander lucioperca (pikeperch)
Lineage: Eukaryota; Metazoa; Chordata; Actinopteri; Perciformes; Percidae
Description: lncRNA (ENSSLUG00000011883.1)
Source: RNAcentral
AACAAAAACAGUUUGUAUACAGAUUACAGGUGUGUGUGUGUGUGUGUGUCUGUGUGUGUCUGUCUGUCUGUCUGUCUGUCUGUCUUUGGACAUCUAGGACACACAUCAGUUCCUGCAGGCCCUCCAGCAGCAGAGCCCUGGCAGAGGAAAGUUCUGUAGCAGACAGGACCUUUUAUUGCAGGAGAGAGUCACUCUGCAGCUGCGCGCUGCACGUUACGAGGUCCACGACAUAUUCUUCAGCCUGUCAGCCGGAGAGAGGAUGCAGCUGAUCAACUGGGACAGAGAGCUGGCCAGAGAGAGAGAGCUCAGACGACAGAGUGGGCACACAGGCAAUCCCAGAGGAAAGAGUUCUCUGUCAACUGCAACACAGAAGUCACUGGAGAGGAAGAGAGGAAUGAUGAUCCAGAAAAAGGUAGCGGAAAGGCACACAGGAGUUGUGACGAGGACUGGACACAAUACUGGAUUCUCUGCCGAGCAGCCGCCGGAAACCAAACAAGGACAAUUCAGAGCAAAUCCUCAGAGGGUCCCCAAGAGCACUUACUCCUCAAGACCACGAUGACACCUUCCUAACUGGCCCCAGUGAGGUUCUCCUAAUAAAGCCUCUAGCUAAACGAACACUUUGGCAUCCUUAAGCUGACUCGCAGCAGACAUUAUGACAUGUCGUAGCAGGAAAAGCACAGGUGUAAUGAAUAUCACUAAUGAUGGCUCCUUCUCAUUUGCAUAUAUACCAGUAAGCCAGUAGUUCCAAACCUGGGUGUCACCUUGUGAGAUGAUUAGCACAGGAAAGAAGCAAAAAAUGUAUAGUAUAUGCAGCACAAAUAGACUUUCUUGUGAAUUAUUGGAUGAUUUUACGUCUGUGGAAAGAGUCUAUAAAUCAGGUUAUUAGUUCAGCUGUUUUUGCAUGUUAGUUUUAUUUUUUCUCCAGUUUUCCAAUGCUAAAUCUCUACUUUAGGCUAGACCAGCUCCAGAUGUAUUAGCACAUAUUGAACUCUGUUAGUAUUGAAUUUACAUAUUUUUUGUAGGACAGUGUGCUCACCUAUACAGACAUUUUAAUAUCCAUCUUAGUGUUAACGCUAAUACUUGAAUAGUGUGUUACUCCCAAGGGUUGCCCUUACAUAUUUUUCUAGUGUAUUGGGGGUCACAUGUCAGCCAAAAAAUGUUUUAUUCUUGGAAACUUUGGACCUGUUUUAUGUUAUUUAUUUAUAUGUGGUUGGUAAUAAAU